This 326-nucleotide unclassified non-coding RNA is filed under the name fungal sp. RNAcentral describes it as "partial internal transcribed spacer region". The stretch from base 1 to 46 matches the Rfam family "Eukaryotic small subunit ribosomal RNA", at positions 1786 to 1831 of the family's 1831-position model. Lineage: Eukaryota; Fungi. The record is from RNAcentral.
AAGUCGUAACAAGGUAACCGUAGGUGAACCUGCGGUUGGAUCAUUACCGAAAGCGAACUGAAACUCCGCACUUGGAAAAAUGCGAUGUUUCCAAACCCUCGCUCACCUUUUGUGAACCGUACUGUCUCUGGCGGCGGGGUGCGGGUGGACUUGUGCUCGGGCGCAUUCCCCUCACCUGUCAGCUUGUGGGCCUCUUAUAAGGGGCCCACUCGCCGUGGACAAGCCGCCAAAUGUGUCUCGAAACCUGCCAUGUGUUUAACACUUACUGUCUUAUGUAUUUACGUACAAUAGCUUAACAACUUUUGGCAACGGAUCUCUUGGCUCUC